Molecule: non-coding RNA, 29 nt
Filed under: Homo sapiens (human)
Lineage: Eukaryota; Metazoa; Chordata; Mammalia; Primates; Hominidae
Source: RNAcentral
UCCAUGUCCUGGGCCAGCCUGAUGAUGUC